UCACAUACCUCUAAAUUCACCCAACUGCGUAGAAGCAAAAUCUGGGUGGCCGCCGUCAAGUACCGCCGUUCGUCUUCAUUCAAAGAUGUACCGUUGGUUUGGGAGGUCUCGCGAGAUCUCGCACAGUGUCCCUUCCCGGGCACCGUACAAUCCCGCCACUGAAUGUAUAGAUACCGGAAGCUUGCGAGCGGUAAAACUGGUUACGGCGUGUUUAGGUUAUAGCAUGGAUGCUGAGGACAUUUGCGUGAGAUAGCGUUGCUUGCCCAGUCUAGUUGACUAACGUUAGCUACGUUACAAGACAGUUACAGUAAUAGCUAUGUCGAAAAGAAAACACAACGUUACUCUCAACACGAAAGAAAAAGAUUGGUUGAGAGAAAACGUUCCAAGACGUACUUUGACAAGAUGGAAAAAAAGGAAAAUCAACAGAACUUUGACUGACAUUGAAAAACACACUGCUCAACGACAUGAAAUUGAUGAAGGUGCCAGCCAAAGCGAAGAGCAGAGAGCAGAGCCUUUCACAUUAACACAGGAAAUUGAUGAAGAUGCCAGCCAAAGCGAAGAGCAGAGAGCAGAGCCUUUCACAUCAACACAGGAAAUUGAUGAGGAUGCCAGCCAAAGCGAAGAGCAGAGAGCAGAGCCUUUCACAUUAACACAGGAAAUUGAUGAAGAUGCCAGCCAAAGCGAAGAGCAGAGAGCAGAGCCUUUCACAUCAACACAGGAAAUUGAUGAAGAUCCCAGCCAAAGCGAAGAGCAGAGAGCAGAGCCUUUCACAUCAACACAGGUGAGACAAAACUACAGUGCACACAUUUAUGAAGUUUAUUACAUAAUUUGGUAUGAAAAUAAAGUAUCACAAGACAACCAAUGCAAUAACAACAUUCACACAUUCAUUUCCGCAGUUCAUGUAAGUGUACCGACACUUUCUGUC
Molecule: long non-coding RNA, 925 nt
Filed under: Sparus aurata (gilthead seabream)
Lineage: Eukaryota; Metazoa; Chordata; Actinopteri; Spariformes; Sparidae
Description: lncRNA (ENSSAUG00010016156.1)
Source: RNAcentral